Molecule: long non-coding RNA, 1144 nt
Organism: Venturia canescens
Lineage: Eukaryota; Metazoa; Arthropoda; Insecta; Hymenoptera; Ichneumonidae
Exons: 2
Source: RefSeq, a predicted model, not a curated record
UUUUACGUGACGUGCCCGCGCCGAACCGAACCUGCAGCCUUUAGUUUUCUCGACGUCUCUCUACCAUCUGUACUCGAGCAAUGCAGAUAUAUCUAUAACACUCAGAUAGAAAUUUUGCGUUAGCACCACGGCAACAGCGCGGCAUCAAAUUGCAUUUUGAAACACAAAUAUUGCAUCUUUUGCCGACAACACGCCUACACGACGUGCAAAAUUCGUAACAGCAAGGGAACGGCAACAGAACAGCACGUCGUGCUGCUGUAUCGGCCGAACGAGCGUGAGUAACGCAACAGCAACAGAACGGCAACAUAACAGCACGUCGUGCUCUUCGCGGCACAAGGUGCCACGCUGCUUUUGCGUAUUGCGUACAAUAUCGCGAGCUGCUUUAUCGACAGCACACGGUACUCCGAAACCACCUGAAGAGAGCAGAAUUGAUGCAAAUAAGUGGGUUCGUUGAUUCGAAAGCAGAUCCUGCUGCCGCGUGGUUGUAGUCGCUAGUGUCUCUAUUCAAAUUCGUAUCGGAGGUUUCCGUUAACCUUCGCGUAGAAGUCGCAUAUCCGCGACUUUUGCUAUAUCUCCUAAUUAUUCCUUGUUACAAAAAUAAAAUAUAUAUAUAAAUAAUAAUCAUAAUAAUAACAAUAAUAAAGACCUUUAAUCCUAACACAUAAUAAAUUCCGAAACAUUAAAACAAAUAAAUACAAACAAUUAUCAUACGCAUAGUCGAAAUAAAUCGUAAUAUAGUGUCCAAGCCGGCCCGCAGCCCAGCGUGGAUCUUCAUCAUCGUGUUUCUUGGAACGUCUUACGCCUUAGCUCCUGCCCUUAAAGCGUACUCAGCGAUCCUCUCCCAGGGAAAGAAAUAAUAAAAACAAAAAGUAAGAUCUUUCCUUUUCUUUACUUUAGAUUAUCAUCCAUUUACAAUUUAAGUCUAUACAAUCUUUGAGAUAUCUUCGAUUAUAUCGCCUUAUAGUGUCUAUGCUUGCUACUCUCUCUCUGGCUUGAUCUUCUUACGAGGCCUGUAAAACAGCCUUUUUAGUCCGCCUAAGCCAAUUCCUUAAUAGUAGUAAAAGAAGUACUCAGCACUCUGAGAUUAAUAUCUUAGUUAAUACUUAAGCCUUUUAUACAAUAAAGUUAAUACUUUAUAAUAUUA